CCUACGGGGGGCAGCAGUGAGGAAUAUUGGUCAAUGGACGAGAGUCUGAACCAGCCAAGUAGCGUGAAGGAUGACUGCCCUAUGGGUUGUAAACUUCUUUUAUAUGGGAAUAAAAUGUUCCACGUGUGGGAUUUUGUAUGUACCAUAUGAAUAAGGAUCGGCUAACUCCGUGCCAGCAGCCGCGGUAAUACGGAGGAUCCGAGCGUUAUCCGGAUUUAUUGGGUUUAAAGGGAGCGUAGGUGGAUUGUUAAGUCAGUUGUGAAAGUUUGCGGCUCAACCGUAAAAUUGCAGUUGAAACUGGCAGUCUUGCGUACAGUAGAGGUGGGCGGAAUUCGUGGUGUAGCGGUGAAAUGCUUAGAUCUCACGCAGAACUCCGAUUGCGAAGGCAGUUCACUGGACUGCAACUGACACUGAGGCUCGAAAGUGUGGGUAUCAAACAGGAUUAGAUACCCGAGUAGUC
Molecule: ribosomal RNA, 460 nt
Filed under: uncultured bacterium
Lineage: Bacteria
Description: partial 16S ribosomal RNA
Rfam family: Bacterial small subunit ribosomal RNA
Source: RNAcentral